RNAcentral lists this long non-coding RNA (1990 nucleotides) under Mus musculus (house mouse). Its description in RNAcentral is "long non-coding RNA chr13:83760277-83762267". Lineage: Eukaryota; Metazoa; Chordata; Mammalia; Rodentia; Muridae. The record is from RNAcentral.
GAAAACACACUGAAAUAAUGUUUCCUGUCUGCUUUUAUGGCUAUCUAAACAUAUUAAUUCUAGCGUAAAUAAGUGACAAUUUUCUUUACCUUAUGUUUAAGUGUGUGUGUGGAGAAGUGUCUUUAAUGAUAAAAAGAAAGUUAAAAUUAACAUAACCCGUAUUGGGUAUGCAAGCAUCACUUCAAUCAAAUAUACAUUACCAUUUUUUCCCCUUUAAGCCUCUGAAUUUAAGCACACAAAUAAAUUAUUGGUUCAGCGUGCUCUGCAGAACAACUGAGCAGGCUGUGUGUUGCAGCGUGACAUUACCUAAUUGCACGGAAGGCAAAUUGACUCUGGGAAGAAUUGUGAAUGAAGGGACGUUUCUAUCUUGGGUUUACGUAAUAAAUCUGCCGCCCUCCGAGCUUUCUACCUUCACAGUUGUUUCUCCUGCCACAUCCAUUCUUUCCUCCUUGACUCUGUUGAUCCUGGAUCUGGGGACAGAAUUGAACAUUAUCAAUCCCCAAGGGGAAAAUGGCUCUACAGUUUAUUGUCUGUCUCAGUUCAUUCUCAUUGCUGUUACCAAUACUUUAUAUUGGAUUAUAAGUACUGUUUUUUUCCCUCAUAGCUCUGAGGUUGAAAAGUCCAAGGCCACGGGGCCAUCGGAUUCACUGUGAUGAAGGCCUAUUCCAAGUGUGGUGUUGUCUAUGCUGUCCUGCUAGAGGACAACAUACGGAAAGGCAAACGGAAGGGACAGGCACCUCUAGGAUGCACGCCCCUUCUCUAAGGGCCUUGUUCUCCUUCAUGAUGGCAGAGCCCUUAUAGCUUAAUCAUUUCCCUCAGUGCUCCUAUUAGGACUAAUGCAUUAGGGAUUAAAUUCCAACCUGAUGGUCUUCUGACACUGGAUCUGUGGGCGGCUCCUCCACUGUAGCGCUGUUGUUCUCUGAGCCAGUGUUACUAUCACUGGUCCCUUCCACAUCCAUGCUGUCAACCCCCUCCUGUCCACUCUCCUUGUCCUCAGGAGUAGACGUGCCUUCUUCACCAUUCUGCUGACUCUCUGCAAGGUGUGUCUCCUCUGUCUCAAUCAGGAUGUUCUCCUUGGCUUUGUUCGCCACUUGCUCUUCCUCAGGGGCUAUGCUGCUCUGUCUCCGCUCAGCUUGCUCUGCUGCCUGCUUCUCACUCUCCUCCUGCCUUCUGCGGGCCUGUUCCCCCGCCAGUGCGGAUCUCAGCUGCAGACUUCUCCAUGUCUACUUCCACUUUCAGACCACAUAACCUUUGAAGUUCAUUGUUAAAGGAGUCUGUGCUUUCUAGGAAUUUCCUCUUCUUUUCCUGGUGUCAUUCUUCUAUCUGAAGGAGCUCGGCUUCUAGUUUCCGCUGAUGAACCACUAAAGACUGGACCUGUCGCUUGAGGACCUGCAUUCUAGCUGUUGUGACAACUGACCGCACAUCAGAUACCACACUCUCUCUGAGAAUGUCACUGAUGAGACAGUAGUUUCUCUGGAAAUGGGCAGUGACUGUGUGCUUCAUUGAAAAGCCAUCAUUAUCAUCAUCUGGAUCCUUAGCAGGCUGGAUGCUAAUCUAAGGUUCUCCUUUCUCCGUGAGAGACUGGCUCUGUCAACUUUCUUCCUCUAAUGCAACUUCUGCACGACUUUUUGUAUUAAUAUAGGCAAGGUACGCUGGGGAAUUAUGGUGGGCUUUCAUAGAUUCAUUGUACUCUAUCUUGUCUGCUUCGUAUUCAUUUAAAUAUUCUUGCUUCUUUUCAUCAGUGAGAUCUCGCCACAUGCCACCAAUAAUCUUGCCAAUCUCCCACAACUUUAGGUCAGGAUUGGAAGCCUUUACUUGGCCCCAGACGUUUCUGCUGUACCUCAUGUAGGGCAUCAGCGGCUUAUCUGGUGGCUCUGGAGGCUUUGGAACAGUAAUGCUAGAGGACGCCGUGACCCCGCUGUUGGUGCCCGGGUUCCCUCCCAGCCUGUAGUUGUUGUAGGGGAGAUGACUGUAUAGAUUGUAUCCCACA